This 497-nucleotide ribosomal RNA is filed under the name uncultured bacterium. Its description in RNAcentral is "partial 16S ribosomal RNA". It matches the Rfam family "Bacterial small subunit ribosomal RNA", at positions 28 to 507 of the family's 1533-position model. The record is from RNAcentral.
GAUGAACGCUGGCGGCGUGCCUAAUACAUGCAAGUCGAGCGAACAGAUAAGGAGCUUGCUCCUUUGACGUUAGCGGCGGACGGGUGAGUAACACGUGGGUAACCUACCUAUAAGACUGGGAUAACUUCGGGAAACCGGAGCUAAUACCGGAUAACACUUGGAACCGCAUGGUUCUAAAGUGAAAGAUGGUAUUGCUAUCACUAAUAGAUGGACCCGCGCCGUAUUAGCUAGUUGGUAAGGUAACGGCUUACCAAGGCAACGAUACGUAGCCGACCUGAGAGGGUGAUCAGCCACACUUGAACUGAGACACGGUCCAGACUCCUACGGGAGACAGCAGUAGGGAAUCUUCCGCAAUGGGCGGAAGCCUGACGGAGCAACGCCGCGUGAGUGAUGAAGGGUUUCGGCUCGUAAAACUCUGUUAUUAGGGAAGAACAAACGUGUAAGUAACUGUGCACGUCUUGACGGUACCUAAUCAGAAAGCCACGGCUAACUACGUG